CACCGCCCGUCGCUCCGACCGAUUGAAUGAUCCGGUGAAAUGUCGGAUCGCGGCGACGCGGGCGGUUCGCUGCCCGCGACGUCGCGAGAAGUCCAUUGAACCUUAUCAUUUAGAGGAAGGAAAAGUCGUAACAAGGUUUCCGUAGGUGAAUCUGCGGAAG
Molecule: non-coding RNA, 160 nt
Organism: Nicotiana sylvestris (wood tobacco)
Lineage: Eukaryota; Viridiplantae; Streptophyta; Magnoliopsida; Solanales; Solanaceae
Source: Rfam